GAGUGAACGUUCCUGCCACUCUGCGUCCUUGCCCGAGCUGGGCGUCGUCAGGUUCUGGAUUUGGGCCCUUCUCAUCGAAAGCUGGCGACCAGCAAGGGAAACCAUCGACAAGGCAGAAAGGCAGCCUCCGGAAUGGGGAAGGCUUUAGCGUUGACGAAAUCCCGAUGAUGGGUGCUUUCUUCGGUGGAUAGUGUGCUUUUUGGGCUGCAUCUGAAAAGUCAUCCCCAGACCCAGGUGGACUGGAUUUCUGCUGUGCCUUCCAGGAGUUAUGGUUCUGUAUUUGAUGUGCAGGUCUGAGGUCUGUGCAGGUCUUGAGUCACAGUUUCGCACAGAUGUCCGGCUGCUUCUGCAGUGCCUCUGGAAGAGACCAUGUUUGCCCCCUUGCCUCUGUCAAGGAGCGGACUGUAUUUGGGUGGGUCCGUUUCUGGGCUCUCUGUUCUGUGCCCUGUUCUGUGUCUGUCUGUUCUUUCCCUAGGACACGUCGUACUGAUUGCCGUAGAUUUUCGGGAAGUCUUGAAGGCGGGUAGUGUCGGUCCUGCCCCCGAUUAGCCCAGCAGCGCCUCGACCCAAACUCACAGCUGGACCCAAGUUCUCUUGGCUCUCACUCAGGUUCUUCUUGCUCCAUUCAUUUCUUUAAAUUAUACAUGUUAUACUUCAGUGACACCUGUCCUGUCUUCCGGGCUCUGGGGCCGCAUGGCGUUUCCUGGCCUUCCUCUCAGGGAAGCGUGGCCAUUGACCGGCUCCUUUCUGCUGGAAUGCGAGCACAGCGGCGAGCUCCCCGGCCAAGGCCUUCAGAGUGGCCACAGCGACCUCGGACUGUUCCCCGCCCCACAACAAGCUCCAUGAAGCCAGCGUCCUGUUUCGGCCGCUGCAUCUGGACAGCUUUCUGUUAGAGCCGCUUACUUGACACAAACUCAUUGGGUUCCUGAGGCAGGAUGCUGCCAUAGCCACAGUGGUUCAUGUGUGACUUUGGCUUAGAAAUCUGGCCAUUGGUGGUGACCAAGCAUGUGGCGGUCUGGACAGCGUCUGUGUGAGCGGAAAAACAGAACCAAUACGGGGUGGGUGUGUGUAAAUAAAUUUACCUUAACGGGUUGGCCCCCACGAUGCUGGAGACUUGGUGACUCCAAAAUCUGCUAGAGAAGGCUGGCCGCUGGAGACCCAGGAAGAACAGAAUUCCCUCUUGCUCGGGGGGGAGUCUGACUUUGUUCUAUGCAGGCCUUCACCUGAUUGGACGAGGCCCACCACAUUAUGGAGAGUAAUCUGGUUUCCUUGAAGUUGACUGAUUUGAAAGCUAAUUUUAUCCUGGGGUACCUGGGGGGCUCAGUCGGUUAAGCAUCCGACUUUUGGCUCAGGUCAUGGUCUCAUGGUUUGGGGGUUCAAGCCCCACGUCGGGCUCUGUGCUGACAGCUUGGAGCCUGGAGCCUGCUUCGGAUUCUGUGUCUCCCUCUCUCUCUGCCCCUCCUCUGCUCAUGCUCUCUCUCUCUCUCUCUCUCUCAAAAAUAAUAAAUAUAAAAAAAAUAAAAGUUAAUCUCAUCCAAAACCACCCUGACAGAAACAUCCAGAAAAGUGUUUGACCAGAUAUCUG
Molecule: long non-coding RNA, 1585 nt
Organism: Panthera uncia (snow leopard)
Lineage: Eukaryota; Metazoa; Chordata; Mammalia; Carnivora; Felidae
Exons: 3
Source: RefSeq, a predicted model, not a curated record